RNAcentral lists this ribosomal RNA (389 nucleotides) under uncultured bacterium. RNAcentral describes it as "bacterial SSU rRNA". It matches the Rfam family "Bacterial small subunit ribosomal RNA", at positions 29 to 419 of the family's 1533-position model. The record is from RNAcentral.
AUUGAACGCUGGCGGCAUGCCUUACACAUGCAAGUCGAACGGUAACGCGGGGCAACCUGGCGACGAGUGGCGAACGGGUGAGUAAUACAUCGGAACGUGCCCAGUAGUGGGGGAUAGCCCGGCGAAAGCCGGAUUAAUACCGCAUACGACCUACGGGUGAAAGCAGGGGAUCGCAAGACCUUGCGCCAUUGGAGCGGCCGAUGUCAGAUUAGGUUGUUGGUGGGGUAAAGGCCUACCAAGCCGACGAUCUGUAGCUGGUCUGAGAGGACGACCAGCCACACUGGGACUGAGACACGGCCCAGACUCCUACGGGAGGCAGCAGUGGGGAAUUUUGGACAAUGGGCGCAAGCCUGAUCCAGCCAUGCCGCGUGCGGGAAGAAGGGCCCUUC